GAUGAACGCUGGCGGCGUGCCUAAUACAUGCAAGUCGAGCGAACAGACGAGGAGCUUGCUCCUCUGACGUUAGCGGCGGACGGGUGAGUAACACGUGGAUAACCUACCUAUUAUACUGGGAUAACUUCGGGAAACCGGAGCUAAUACCGGAUAAUAUAUUGAACCUCAUUGUUCAAUAGUGAAUGACGUUUUUUCUGUCACUUAUAGAUGGAUCCGCGCCGCAUUUAGCUAUUUGGUAAGGUAACGGCUUACCAAGGCAACGAUGCGUAGCCGCCCUGAGAGGGUGAUCGGCCACACUGGAACUGAGACACGGUCCAGACUCCUACGGGAGGCAGCAGUAGGGAAUCUUCCGCAAUGGGCGAAAGCCUGACGGAGCAACGCCGCGUGAGUGAUGAAGGUCUUCGGAUCGUAAAACUCUGUUAUUAGGGAAGAACAAAUGUGUAAGUAACUAUGCACGUCUUGACGGUACCUAAUCAGAAAGCCACGGCUAACUACGUG
RNAcentral lists this ribosomal RNA (498 nucleotides) under uncultured bacterium. RNAcentral's name for it is "partial 16S ribosomal RNA". It matches the Rfam family "Bacterial small subunit ribosomal RNA", at positions 28 to 507 of the family's 1533-position model. The record is from RNAcentral.